Cyanistes caeruleus (blue tit) is the source of this 2230-nucleotide long non-coding RNA. Lineage: Eukaryota; Metazoa; Chordata; Aves; Passeriformes; Paridae. The record is from Ensembl.
CAUGUCUAAUAUGUUAAUUCAGCCAUGUGAAAGGAUGAAAGACUUAAAAUACAUGUGAGGGGAUUAUUUUAUGUUUGCAGUAGGCUAUGGGGCUGUUUGUAGCUGGGGAAUAUGAUAGAGUGAAUGAGAAGUGGCAUAUUGAGCUCAGCUGCUUCAACAAAUGCACGUGUAAAUAACAGUGGUGGAUUAAGGACUUAGUUUUAAGGAGUACAAAUGUAGAGCUCUAAGGAAGUUAAAGAGCUAAACAGAGGAAAACUAAAUUAAAAUGGUAAAAUCGGAGAGGAAAGGAGGAGAAAGGAAAAGGAAAAACAAAAAAAAACCCCAAAAAUGGAAAUUAUGGAGUAGACAUAAAAACAGAGGAGAUCACCAGGAAGAAAACAAAAACAAAGACUGGGCUUUCAGAUGGUGAUUGUGAAAUGAAAAAGCUUCGCUGGAACCUAAAGCAGUCACUUGAGUUCGUCUCCCCUGGAGAAGCCUGUAAAGCCAGCACGGCGUACCCAGAGAUACGGAAAACGGUGAGUGUCGCUCUGCGUAAUCUGUUUUCUGUCAUUUGAUGAAGGUCAUGACUUUGAUAUUUUCCACCAGACUGGCCCGAUUUGGGUGCCAGGCUGUUUGUUUGUUUACAGAUGGAGAAAUGUUUCCGACAUCUGUCUGCAGCAUUCUCCCAGCAGCUACCUCAUGUUUCUUGCAACUUCCCAGCCUUGCCCACGGCCUGUUCUUGGAAGGAAGGAACAUCUCUUGGGUAACCUGAAAACAAAACAAAGUAGCAGAAAACUUUAUUUAACCUCCAGCUAAUUUCCUAUCCGGACUAAAUUUAGCGGGUUGGAUUUUGUUUGGUGGAUGUGCUUCCCAACACAGUGAAUUCAGAGGGAUGCUGCCAUUCCCCUAAAGGAACUGUUGUAGUGCUCUGCUUAAAACUGGCUGAUUUAAUUCCACAUCACAGCAUCAAUUUUUAAGGCAAAACGUCACUUUCUGUUUGAACACGGCGGCACAGGGGUCUGGGGAAGCUGAUGGGUGAAUUCUGCUCCCUGGAAAAGCCCAGCCACCCACAUGGCAAACAGCUGCUGCCUUCCAGUCACCUCUGCCUCUCCAGGAGCCAGCCAGAGCACAGGGGGAUAAAAACAUUAUCAUGAAAGCUUCUCCGCGCGUGUUUUGAAACAGACAGUCCUUAAUUGAAGGAAGAUCAAGUCGGGGACCAGCCCAAAACACUUAGAUUAUUUUUCCAUGAGUCAAGGGUUAUAUUCAAAACAAAAAUUAGCCUACAAAUACCAAGGCCAGGCUGGUGCACUGAGCAUUUCCCAGCACAGGUCACUGCUGCCAGCCUCCUGCUACAGAGGAAAAACCAUCUGACAAACUACUUGGAAAGUUUUUAAAAACUUUAUUCACUCUGUCAGUCUUUGCCUUUCUAAAGCCUUGAAUUUCAGGGCCUGCAGUUAUUUGCACUGCCAUCAGCUUGAGGUGUAGAAAUUGUGGAAGGAGCAAAGGAUAAGAGGAUAAAAGGAUAAAAAAUACAUUUAGAAACUCUAAAACUGACAGCACAGCUUCUGCUGUGUGUUUGGGGCAGCUGGAGACCAGAACGAGGUGCUUCUCUUACCUAACUGAGAAUUGCAUCGUCCUCGUGGUGAGAAUCUUACCAGGUUACCAAACUGCCACAGAAACCAUGACUAAGAAGUGUCUGCUCCUCAAUCCUGAGAUAGUGGAGGAAGAAGAGGAAGGGAAGAAAUAAUUUUUAAGCAAGUGAAUUAAAAAAGAAAAAAUCACAAGAACUCAUAUGAAUGAAAACAGCACCUUUAUUAAAGCAGGGCUUGAAGUUAAUGUUUGAGCAGAGACUGUCUUUGAUCCCAUCAAAGUGAAAUGAUUGAAAGGGAAUGGCAAAUGCACCUGCAGACUGGCUGGAAAAGGUGAUUUCAGGAUACUUCCCUGCAUCACAUCCCUCCAACCCAGCCUCAGCCCCAUGCACACAGAGCUUCCUUCUGUGGCUGAUUGGUUUUCCAGCCUGGCAUCCAAGGUCCCUGUCCUGUUACAAGCCAGAAUCUGAAUGCUUGAAAUGACAUAAAAACACUCUGUGUGCUCAUAAAUGCAGUGGCAGAGGCUGCAGCUGUGUUUUCCUGCUGUGCUGGGAGGAGCAGCACCUGGGAAGGGGCAUCUUGCUCUUGACAGAUCUUUUUUUCUUUUUCUUUUUUUUUUUCCUUGUCUGUGGGCAGAAAAUAAAAUUAAAUUGCAUAAACCA